CACGGAAUUAGCCGGUCCUUAUUCAUAGGGUACAUGCAAUAAACUACACGUAGCUCACUUUAUUCCCCUAUAAAAGCAGUUUACAACCCAUAGGGCCGUCAUCCUGCACGCUACUUGGUUGGUUCAGGCUCUCGCCCAUUGACCAAUAUUCCUCAUUGCUGCCUCCCGUAGGAGUUUGGACCGUGUCUCAGUUCCAAUGUGGGGGACCUUCCUCUCAGAACCCCUACUGAUCGUUGCCUUGGUGGGCCGUUACCCCGCCAACAAGCUAAUCAGACGCAUCCCCAUCCAUUACCAAUAAAUCUUUAAUCCUAUAAUGAUGCCAUCAUAAAUACCAUGGGGUAUUAGUCUUACUUUCGCAAGGUUAUCCCCCUGUAAUGGGUAGGUUGGAUACGCGUUACUCAUCCGUGCGCCGGUCGACGCCUAAGAGAGCAAGCUCUCUCAUCGUUCCCCUCGACUUGCAUGUGUUAAGCUGUAGCUAGCGUUCAUCCUGAGCCAGAUCAAACUCUACG
Molecule: ribosomal RNA, 509 nt
Filed under: uncultured Prevotella sp.
Lineage: Bacteria; Pseudomonadati; Bacteroidota; Bacteroidia; Bacteroidales; Prevotellaceae
Description: partial 16S ribosomal RNA
Source: RNAcentral